RNAcentral lists this small RNA (22 nucleotides) under Arabidopsis thaliana (thale cress). RNAcentral's name for it is "Ath_wt_02556". Lineage: Eukaryota; Viridiplantae; Streptophyta; Magnoliopsida; Brassicales; Brassicaceae. The record is from RNAcentral.
CCGAGUGCCGCUCACGCCCGGU